UUGCCGAAUGCACCGGGGGGGGACACUCCGUGUUUGCAGAAGUAAAAAAACCCCCACGGUCGUUGCACAAUGGAACAAGGCUGUUCAUUUUCUCCACUCAGGUUUACUGCUCAGACCUUGGGUUUUUCAGCAUCAGCAAGUUAAUAAGCAGAAACGCUUGUGAAAAAGAGCUAGCGGUGCUUUUUUCGAAUUGUUGUUUUUGUUGGUUUUUGCUGCUCGGUACCAUUAUGUUCGUGCAUCCCAUCUCCCCCCGCAACUCGGAUAUGCAGAACUUGGCAAAGGGUUUUCAAACCACUUCACUUAAUCUCUUCCGUGCCUCAGUAGUGAGCACAGGCUGGGCGGGAUCAGCCGCGUAAAAUCCACUCUGGGUCAUUUUUGGAGGUCCUUGCAGCAAGCGGCGCUGCCCCGCGGGGGGCGGAGGGCAGGAGCCGCGGCGCUGUGGCGCUGCAGACCCGCGCUGGCGGCACGGCUCGCCGUUGUUCUCUGGCCCCGCAUCCCGAGGAAAGAGGUGUUCGUAAAAACAAAGCAAAACAAAGCAAACCAAAGCAAAACCAAAGCCGGGCAGACGGUUUGUGCGGAGGAAUGUUUCUGACCACAGCCAGACAGCAGCUCUGUCAGGGCAUGAAACGCUGUGUUUCUUAAGCUCUUGUGCCAUUACAUUGUUUAAUCUUCAAAGCAUUAAACUUUGGAGUUGCUCAGACCUUGCAAAGCUAAAAAUAAUAAAAAUUCAAAUGAC
Long non-coding RNA from Columba livia (rock pigeon), 736 nucleotides. RefSeq lists it as uncharacterized. Lineage: Eukaryota; Metazoa; Chordata; Aves; Columbiformes; Columbidae. The transcript is spliced from 2 exons. The record is from RefSeq and is a predicted model, not a curated record.